This 225-nucleotide ribosomal RNA is filed under the name uncultured Thorsellia sp. RNAcentral describes it as "partial 16S ribosomal RNA". It matches the Rfam family "Bacterial small subunit ribosomal RNA", at positions 568 to 792 of the family's 1533-position model. The record is from RNAcentral. Lineage: Bacteria; Pseudomonadati; Pseudomonadota; Gammaproteobacteria; Enterobacterales; Thorselliaceae.
CAUGCAGGCGGUUACAUAAGUCAGAUGUGAAAUCCCCGCGCUUAACGUGGGCAUUGCAUUUGAAACUAUGUAGCUAGAGUUCUGUAGAGGGGGGUAGAAUUCCAGGUGUAGCGGUGAAAUGCGUAGAGAUCUGGAGGAAUACCGAUUGCGAAGGCAGCCCCCUGGACAGUGACUGACGCUCAUGCACGAAAGCGUGGGGAGCAAACAGGAUUAGAUACCCUAGUA